CCUAACUUUGAAUCUCUUCGUAGGGUGCUUCAGGGAAAGCUGGGGACCCUGGGAGAGAUGUAAGUCAAG
Non-coding RNA from Rattus norvegicus (Norway rat), 69 nucleotides. Lineage: Eukaryota; Metazoa; Chordata; Mammalia; Rodentia; Muridae. The record is from Rfam.